Molecule: long non-coding RNA, 404 nt
Organism: Sarcophilus harrisii (Tasmanian devil)
Lineage: Eukaryota; Metazoa; Chordata; Mammalia; Dasyuromorphia; Dasyuridae
Exons: 2
Source: RefSeq, a predicted model, not a curated record
CUGAAGUCAUCCUGACAUCACAGAGCACCAGUUGUCCUUUGUCACCUUUCAUCACUUGAUGUAAGGGAGACUUAAUGUGAUGACCAUCUUGCCCUAGUAAACAAAGCACACAAAAUUUCCAGACAUGGAGGAGCUAUAUUUGAAAAAUGCCUCUCUAUGGCCUAAGAUGUCACAAUACUGAAAUUAGGCUGAUUAAUAACCCUGCAAUGACCUCUUAAGUGUUCGAGUAAAAGGAAGAGUCAACUGAUGCAGCAAAUUUCAUUGUCGUCUUUCAAGAAAUUGCCACAACCAUUCCAACCAUCAGCAAUCACUACCCUGAUCAGUCUGUAGCAGUAAACAUCAAGGAAAAGCCUUCCAUCAGCAAAAAGAUUACAAUUCACUGAAGGAUCAGGUGACAGUUUACA